This 370-nucleotide ribosomal RNA is filed under the name uncultured organism. RNAcentral's name for it is "bacterial SSU rRNA". It matches the Rfam family "Bacterial small subunit ribosomal RNA", at positions 526 to 896 of the family's 1533-position model. The record is from RNAcentral.
CGAGAGGCCCAAACGUUAUUCGGAAUUACUGGGCUUAAAGAGUCCGUAGGCGGCGCAGAAAGUGGGGUGUGAAAUCCCUCGGCUCAACCGAGGAAUUGCGCUCCAAACUCCUGUGCUUGAGGAAUCUAGAGGUGAGCGGAACUGAUGGUGGAGCGGUGAAAUGCGUUGAUAUCAUCAGGAACACCGGAGGCGAAGGCGGCUCACUGGGGAUUUUCUGACGCUGAGGGACGAAAGCCAGGGGAGCGAACGGGAUUAGAUACCCCGGUAGUCCUGGCCGUAAACGAUGAGCACUAGACCGGAGGGCUGCACAGCUUUUCGGUCGUAGCUAAAGUGUUAAGUGCUCCGCCUGGGGAGUAUGGUCGCAAGGCUG